CCUGUGUAUAGCUAUGUCUCACUCCCUGUGGCAUAGCUAGGUCUCUCUCUCUCCCUGUGGCAUAGAUAGAUCUCUCUCUCUCUCCCUUUGGCAUAGCUAGGUCUCUCCCUCUCCCUGUGGCAUAGCUAGGUCUCUCCCUCUCACUGUGGCAUGGCUAUGUCUCUCCCUCUCCCUGUGGCAUGGCUAUGUCUCUCCCCCUCCCUGUGGCAUAGCUAUGUCUCUCCCCGUCCGUGUGGCAUAGCUAGGUCUCUCUCUCUCCCUGUGUAUAGCUAGGUCUCUCUCUCUCCCUGUGGCAUAGCUAUGUCUCUCUCCCUGUGGCAUGGCUAUGUCUCUCUCCCUGUGUAUAGCUAGGUCUCUCUCCCUGUGGCAUGGCUAUGUCUGUCUCCCUGUGGCAUAGCUAGGUCUCUCUCUCUCCCUGUGUAUAGCUAUGUCUCUCUCCCUGUGGAAUAGCUAGGUCUCUCUCUCUCCCUGUGGCAUAGCUAUGUCUCUCUCCCUGUGGAAUAACUAUGUCUCUCUCCCUGUGGAAUAGCUAGGUCUCUCUCUCUCCCUGUGGAAUAGCUAGGUCUCUCUCUCUCCCUGUGGCAUAGCUAGGUCUCUCUCCCUGUGGCAUGGCUAUGUCUCUCUCCCUGUGGAAUAGCUAGGUCUCUCUCUCCCUGUGGCAUAGCU
Molecule: long non-coding RNA, 666 nt
Organism: Oncorhynchus tshawytscha (Chinook salmon)
Lineage: Eukaryota; Metazoa; Chordata; Actinopteri; Salmoniformes; Salmonidae
Source: Ensembl